GGCAGCAGUGAGGAAUAUUGGUCAAUGGGCGCGAGCCUGAACCAGCCAAGUCGCGUGAGGGAUGACGGUCCUACGGAUUGUAAACCUCUUUUGCCGGGGAGCAAGCGUGCGUUCGUGAACGCGCGUCGAGAGUACCCGGAGAAAAAGCAUCGGCUAACUCCGUGCCAGCAGCCGCGGUAAUACGGAGGAUGCGAGCGUUAUCCGGAUUUAUUGGGUUUAAAGGGUGCGUAGGCGGGAUGCCAAGUCAGCGGUAAAAAUGCGGUGCUCAACGCCGUCGAGCCGUUGAAACUGGCGUUCUUGAGUGGGCGAGAAGUAUGCGGAAUGCGUGGUGUAGCGGUGAAAUGCAUAGAUAUCACGCAGAACUCCGAUUGCGAAGGCAGCAUACCGGCGCCCUACUGACGCUGAGGCACGAAAGCGUGGGUAUCGAACAGGAUUAGAUACCCUGGUAGUCCACGCAGUAAACGAUGAAUGCUAACUGUCCGGCUCGAAUGAGCGCUGGGCGGU
This 504-nucleotide ribosomal RNA is filed under the name uncultured bacterium. RNAcentral's name for it is "bacterial SSU rRNA". It matches the Rfam family "Bacterial small subunit ribosomal RNA", at positions 347 to 847 of the family's 1533-position model. The record is from RNAcentral.